RNAcentral lists this non-coding RNA (139 nucleotides) under Sungouiella intermedia. RNAcentral's name for it is "Candida intermedia Eukaryotic large subunit ribosomal RNA". It matches the Rfam family "Eukaryotic large subunit ribosomal RNA", at positions 824 to 942 of the family's 3401-position model. Lineage: Eukaryota; Fungi; Ascomycota; Pichiomycetes; Serinales; Metschnikowiaceae. The record is from Rfam by way of RNAcentral.
UGGUGACCUAUACCCGGAUAGGGUGGAGCCAGAUGAAACUCUGGUGGAUGUUCUUCCGAUUCUGACGAGCAAAUCGAUCGUCGAUUCUGGGUAUAGGGGCUAUUUGUUUCCACACUCCACCAGUGCUACCACUGAACCA